Molecule: ribosomal RNA, 111 nt
Filed under: uncultured SAR86 cluster bacterium
Lineage: Bacteria; Pseudomonadati; Pseudomonadota; Gammaproteobacteria
Description: partial 16S ribosomal RNA
Rfam family: Bacterial small subunit ribosomal RNA
Source: RNAcentral
GAAGUAGAUAGUCUAACCUUCGGGAGGGCGUUUACCACGGUGUGCUUCAUGACUGGGGUGAAGUCGUAACAAGUGUAGCCGUAUGGGAACCUGUGGCUGGAUCACCUCCUU